GGCGCGGUAGCAAAGCGGUUAUGCCCUGGAGUGCAAAUCAGGUUAGUCCCGUUCGACUCCGGACCGCGCCUCCA
RNAcentral lists this transfer RNA (74 nucleotides) under Acidovorax sp. 32-64-7. RNAcentral's name for it is "tRNA-Cys". It matches the Rfam family "tRNA". Rfam says of the family: Transfer RNA (tRNA) molecules are approximately 80 nucleotides in length. The record is from RNAcentral. Lineage: Bacteria; Pseudomonadati; Pseudomonadota; Betaproteobacteria; Burkholderiales; Comamonadaceae.